This 468-nucleotide ribosomal RNA is filed under the name uncultured bacterium. Its description in RNAcentral is "partial 16S ribosomal RNA". It matches the Rfam family "Bacterial small subunit ribosomal RNA", at positions 28 to 507 of the family's 1533-position model. The record is from RNAcentral.
GACGAACGCUGGCGGCGGGCUUAACACAUGCGAGUCGAACGGAAAGGCCCUGCGUGCGUGGGGUGCUCGAGUGGCGAACGGGUGAGUAACACGUGAGUAACCUGCCCUUGACUUUGGGAUAACUUCAGGAAACGGGGGCUAAUACCGGAUAGGAGCUCCUGCUGCAUGGAGGGGGGUGGAAAGUUGCGGCGGGUGGGGAUGGACUGGCGGGUUAUCAGCUUGUUGGUGGGGUAGUGGCUUACCAAGGCUUUGACGGGUAGCCGGCCUGUGAGGGUGACCGGCCACAUUGGGACUGAGGUACGGACCAGACUCCUACGGGAGGCAGCAGUGGGGAAUAUUGCCCAAUGGGCGGAAGCCUGAUGCAGCAACGCCGCGUGCGGGAUGACGGCCUUCGGGUUGUAAACCGCUUUCGCCUGUGACGAAGCGGGAGUGACGGUAAUGGGUAAAGAAGCACCGGCUAACUACGUG